GCCCAGGUGGCGGAAUUGGUAUACGCGCAUGGUUGAGGGCCAUGGGGUUUUUAACCCGUGCGGGUUCAAGUCCCGCCCUGGGCACCA
This 87-nucleotide transfer RNA is filed under the name Patescibacteria group bacterium. RNAcentral describes it as "tRNA-Leu". It matches the Rfam family "tRNA". From Rfam's summary of the family: Transfer RNA (tRNA) molecules are approximately 80 nucleotides in length. Their secondary structure includes four short double-helical elements and three loops (D, anti-codon, and T loops). Further hydrogen bonds mediate the characteristic L-shaped molecular structure. tRNAs have two regions of fundamental functional importance: the anti-codon, which is responsible for specific mRNA codon recognition, and the 3' end, to which the tRNAs corresponding amino acid is attached (by aminoacyl-tRNA synthetases). tRNAs cope with the degeneracy of the genetic code in two manners: having more than one tRNA (with a specific anti-codon) for a particular amino acid; and 'wobble' base-pairing, i.e. permitting non-standard base-pairing at the 3rd anti-codon position. The record is from RNAcentral.